Molecule: non-coding RNA, 26 nt
Filed under: Rattus norvegicus (Norway rat)
Lineage: Eukaryota; Metazoa; Chordata; Mammalia; Rodentia; Muridae
Source: RNAcentral
CAGUUAAAGCUCUCUGUGCUCCCUGU